RNAcentral lists this ribosomal RNA (801 nucleotides) under uncultured bacterium. Its description in RNAcentral is "bacterial SSU rRNA". It matches the Rfam family "Bacterial small subunit ribosomal RNA", at positions 85 to 865 of the family's 1533-position model. The record is from RNAcentral.
AGUGAGUAGAGUGGCGCACGGGUGAGUAACGCGUAGGUAAUCUACCUCUGGAUUGGGGAUAACUCUGCGAAAGCGGAGCUAAUACCGAAUGGUCUGGCUUUAUUUUGAUGAAGUCGGUAAAGGAUGCCUCUGCAUAUGCAUCUGUCCGGAGAUGAGCCUGCGUCCCAUUAGCUAGUUGGUAGGGUAAAGGCCUACCAAGGCGACGAUGGGUAGCUGGUCUGAGAGGAUGAUCAGCCACACUGGAACUGGAACACGGUCCAGACUCCUACGGGAGGCAGCAGUGGGGAAUAUUGGGCAAUGGGCGCAAGCCUGACCCAGCAACGCCGUGUGAGGGAUGAAGGCCUUCGGGUCGUAAACCUCUGUCAGAAGGGAAGAACGGGCACAGUUCGAAUAGGGCUGUGUUUUGACGGUACCUUCAGAGGAAGCACCGGCUAACUCCGUGCCAGCAGCCGCGGUAAUACGGAGGGUGCGAGCGUUAUUCGGAAUCACUGGGCGUAAAGGGCGCGUAGGCGGCCUGGUAAGUCAGGGGUGAAAUCCCACGGCUCAACCGUGGAAUUGCCUUUGAAACUGCUGGGCUUGGAUCCUGGAGAGGGUGGCGGAAUUCCUGGUGUAGGAGUGAAAUCCGUAGAUAUUCGGAGGAACACCGGUGGCGAAGGCGGCUUCCUGGACCGAUACUGACGCUGAGACGCGAAAGCGUGGGGAGCAAACAGGAUUAGAUACCCUGGUAGUCCACGCCGUAAACGAUGGGUACUAGGUGUUGCGGGUAUUGACCCCUGCAGUGCCGAAGCUAACGCAUUAAGU